UACGAAGGGUGCAAACGUUGCUCGGAAUCAUUGGGCGUAAAGCGCACGUAGGCGGCCUUGUAAGUCGGAUGUGAAAUCCCUCGGCUCAACCGAGGAAGUGCAUCCGAAACUGCGAGGCUCGAGUAUGGAAGAGGGUCGCAGAAUUCCCGGUGUAGAGGUGAGAUUCGUAGAUAUCGGGAGGAAUACCAGUGGCGAAGGCGGCGACCUGGGCCAAUACUGACGCUGAGGUGCGAAAGCGUGGGGAGCAAACAGG
Molecule: ribosomal RNA, 253 nt
Filed under: uncultured bacterium
Lineage: Bacteria
Description: partial 16S ribosomal RNA
Rfam family: Bacterial small subunit ribosomal RNA
Source: RNAcentral